CUUUGGAGACCCCACAGCACUGGUUGCUGCUUUUGUCUUCCCUUUUUGUUGAUUAAAACAUGGAUUACACCCUCCAUUUUGACUCUGCGCCUGUGUCGUACCGCAACCUAAUCUGUGACACAAAUGAUACAAGACUAUCCCUGGCAGACUGUCAGCCAGGGAAACAGCUUUAUAACAACAAGGAACACAGACUGAGACCAAUAUCUUCUUUACAGCUGGGCCCUGUGUAUGCAUGUUUACACAUACAUUUAAGUCCACAGGUUUUAGUGGAUAUUGGACCUGGCAAGAACUGUGGCGUCCCUUAGGACCAAUAACAGGACCGGAUAACAGCCAAUAACAGGACCGGAUAACAGCCAAUAACAGGACCGGAUAACAGCCAAUAACAGGACCGG
This is a long non-coding RNA of Esox lucius (northern pike), 392 nucleotides long. Lineage: Eukaryota; Metazoa; Chordata; Actinopteri; Esociformes; Esocidae. The record is from Ensembl.